CAGCACCUCAAGUGGUCAGGAUGAUUAUUGGGCCUAAAGCAUCCGUAGCCGGCUCUGUAAGUUUUCGGUUAAAUCUGUACGCUCAACGUACAGGCUGCCGGGAAUACUGCAGCGCUAGGGAGUGGGAGAGGUAGACGGUACUCGGUAGGAAGGGGUAAAAUCCUUUGAUCUAUUGAUGACCACCUGUGGCGAAGGCGGUCUACCAGAACACGUCCGACGGUGGGGGAUGAAAGCUGGGGGAGCAAACCGGAUUAGAUACCCGAGUAGUCC
Molecule: ribosomal RNA, 270 nt
Filed under: uncultured archaeon
Lineage: Archaea
Description: partial 16S ribosomal RNA
Rfam family: Archaeal small subunit ribosomal RNA
Source: RNAcentral